RNAcentral lists this transfer RNA (86 nucleotides) under archaeon. RNAcentral describes it as "tRNA-Leu". It matches the Rfam family "tRNA". From Rfam's summary of the family: Transfer RNA (tRNA) molecules are approximately 80 nucleotides in length. Their secondary structure includes four short double-helical elements and three loops (D, anti-codon, and T loops). RNAcentral also lists the same sequence under 5 other names. The record is from RNAcentral.
GCGGGGGUGGCCGAGUCUGGCCAAAGGCGCAGGAUUGAGGGUCCUGUUCCUAAGUGGAUGCGAGGGUUCAAAUCCCUUCCCCCGCA